This 471-nucleotide ribosomal RNA is filed under the name uncultured bacterium. RNAcentral's name for it is "bacterial SSU rRNA". It matches the Rfam family "Bacterial small subunit ribosomal RNA", at positions 8 to 526 of the family's 1533-position model. The record is from RNAcentral.
AGAGUUUGAUUCUGGCUCAGAACGAACGCUGGCGGCAUGCCUAACACAUGCAAGUCGAACGCUAUCUUGUAUAGAGUGGCGCACGGGUGAGUAACGCGUGGGAACCUGCCUUUCUCUGCGGGACAACGGUUGGAAACGACCGCUAAUACCGCAUACGCCCUACGGGGGAAAGGUCAGCCGGAGAAAGAGGGGCCCGCGUUAGAUUAGCUAGUUGGUAGGGUAAUGGCCUACCAAGGCGACGAUCUAUAGCUGGUCUGAGAGGAUGAUCAGCCACACUGGGACUGAGACACGGCCCAGACUCCUACGGGAGGCAGCAGUGGGGAAUAUUGGACAAUGGGGGCAACCCUGAUCCAGCAAUGCCGCGUGUGUGAUGAAGGCCCUAGGGUUGUAAAGCACUUUCACUGGUGAAGAUGAUGACGGUAACCAGAGAAGAAGCCCCGGCUAACUUCGUGCCAGCCGCCGCGGUAAUAC